RNAcentral lists this ribosomal RNA (735 nucleotides) under Triticum aestivum (bread wheat). RNAcentral's name for it is "partial small subunit ribosomal RNA". Lineage: Eukaryota; Viridiplantae; Streptophyta; Magnoliopsida; Poales; Poaceae. The record is from RNAcentral.
AAGUAUUGUGGAAGUUGGGUGAUGAAGGCUGAGCCAAGGAGAUCUAUUUUGAGUGGAUUUGGAUGGCUUCAAGAGACUAUUGCCACACCGGGAGAGACUUACACAAUGUUGAGAAUGACGGUAAGUGUGUUCUUUGAUCUUCAUGACUUGUUGGUACGUAAUUGUGGUCUAAAAGAAACAAGCUUUGUUAGCACUUACGAGUCUCUUGCUAUGUUCUUGUGGACAUUGGGAGGUUGUGAAUCAAAUAGAAGAACUCAAAACCGCUUCAAACAUUCAGCGGAUACAAUCCAUCGUAAAUUCCAUGAGGUUCUACAAUGUGUGGUCAACAUGGUAUCUCACUACCUUAAGCCACAAGAUCCAAACUUCCAUGUUGUGUAUGAUAUCAUUAAGACAAAUAGAAGGGCUUAUCCUCAUCUCAAAGAUUGCAUUGGUGCAAUCGAUGGGACUCAUAUAAGAGCUUCUAUUCUCGAUGGGCCUCAAAAAGUGAGGUAUAUUGGGAGAACUGGUGCGACAACUCAGAAUGUGAUGGGGUAUGUGACUUUGAUAUGCACUUCACUUAUGCUUCAAUUGGUCAACUGGGUUCUAUGCAUGAUACAAAUGUGUUAUUCCAUGCCAAUGAGAAGGACAUGCCCUCCUUCCCCCAUCCUCCAAAGAGUGAUCAAUUCUUUUCGUUACAAGUUUACAUGUAAUGUUGUCUAUCCUCCAACUAACAUGUAUGUGUGUUGUUGUUUUUAG